RNAcentral lists this ribosomal RNA (492 nucleotides) under uncultured bacterium. RNAcentral describes it as "partial 16S ribosomal RNA". It matches the Rfam family "Bacterial small subunit ribosomal RNA", at positions 29 to 507 of the family's 1533-position model. The record is from RNAcentral.
AGUGAACGCUGGCGGUAGGCCUAACACAUGCAAGUCGAACGGCAGCACAGUAAGAGCUUGCUCUUACGGGUGGCGAGUGGCGGACGGGUGAGGAAUACAUCGGAAUCUACUUUUUCGUGGGGGAUAACGUAGGGAAACUUACGCUAAUACCGCAUACGACCUACGGGUGAAAGCAGAGGAUCUUCGGACCUUGCGCGAUUGAAUGAGCCGAUGUCGGAUUAGCUAGUUGGCGGGGUAAAGGCCCACCAAGGCGACGAUCCGUAGCUGGUCUGAGAGGAUGAUCGGCCACACUGGAACUGAGACACGGUCCAGACUCCUACGGGAGGCAGCAGUGGGGAAUAUUGGACAAUGGGCGCAAGCCUGAUCCAGCCAUACCGCGUGGGUGAAGUAGGCCUUCGGGUUGUAAAGCCCUUUUGUUGGGAAAGAAAAGCAGCAGGUUAAUACCCCGCUGUUCUGACGGUACCCAAAGAAUAAGCACCGGCUAACUUCGUG